Molecule: long non-coding RNA, 1121 nt
Organism: Cornus florida
Lineage: Eukaryota; Viridiplantae; Streptophyta; Magnoliopsida; Cornales; Cornaceae
Exons: 10
Source: RefSeq, a predicted model, not a curated record
UAAAGGGUAACUAACACGAAAAAUGACCAUAGGGGAUGAUGAAAAAAAAAAAAAAAAAAAUUCAGUUAGGACACGUCUGGGUUGGGCGUCAAAUUUUAGAGGCGUCAAAUUUAGAGGCCUAUAGGGCCAAAAAAAAAAAAAAAAAAGUUAGGGCAAGUUUCAGACGACACAAUCUGCUUCGACACUCCGCAGGGCUAUCGCCUCAGGUGACAAGGACACACUUCUUAGGAUCUCGUGAGGUUAUUUGCCUUGAACUUGAAUCAAAUCAUUGCAUAUUGAGACGAAAAAGAUGCAGAUGAUGUUGUAGAUUCCCAAUUCGAGUUAUCUCUCUGGUUCGCCUCUCUAUUGGAGCAGUGAAAGUCCAAUCGAAGCAAAGAAAGGCAAAUCGAAGACCCCUAGAAAACCCAAGGAAAGUGUUAUUAAAUAGAAAUCACCAGCUGAGUUUUUUGCUGAGAGCAAGAACAUUGUUGGGUUUGAUAAUCCAGGGAAAUCCCUCUACACUACUGUGAGAGAACUUGUUGAAAAUGCUCUUGAUUCAGCAGAAUCCAUAUCUGAGCUUCCUGUAGUAGAAGUAACAAUGUGCAAUCACUGGAGCUAUAACAACUCCUCUUGAUGUCAUAAAAACUAGAUUAAUGGUUCAGGGGUCAGCAAACCAGUACAAAGGUAUAUUUGAUUGUGUUCGGACUAUCAUUAGAGAAGAAGGGACUCCUGCUCUUCUAAAGGUUAGUAGACAAAAUAAUUAAGCAAAUAGUGAUGGAUAAAGAAUGGAUGCACAUGACUUGCAGGAUUGAUUAUCACCAGUUCAUUAGGAGCAGAAGAAUCAGAAUUUCUAUGAUUCCAGUCUACAACAAAGCUAUUUUCUUGGAUUUUGCAGCUAUUUUCUUGGAUUUUGCAGUUACUUCCUUGGAUUUUGUACAGUGAGCUGGUUUUUUGACAAGUGCAGACUGAAACUCAAGUGCUAGAAGGUUUAUCAAUUUUUCAACAGAAGUGUUAAGAAAUUGAUGAUUUUCUUGACAAAUGGAUGUACUUUCUAUUUUGGAACAUUGAUAAAUGAUGAAUUGUAAAAAUGUUUUAACUUUUUUGAUAUAUUUAAUGGGAUAUGUAUGUUUUUUGAAUUGAAA